RNAcentral lists this ribosomal RNA (445 nucleotides) under uncultured bacterium. RNAcentral describes it as "SSU rRNA". It matches the Rfam family "Bacterial small subunit ribosomal RNA", at positions 26 to 518 of the family's 1533-position model. The record is from RNAcentral.
AGAACGAACGCUGGCGGCAUGCCUAACACAUGCAAGUCGAACGAGACCUUCGGGUCUAGUGGCGCACGGGUGCGUAACGCGUGGGAAUCUGCCCAAAGGUUCGGAAUAACUCAGGGAAACUUGAGCUAAUACCGGAUGAUGUCGCAAGACCAAAGAUUUAUCGCCUUUGGAUGAGCCCGCGUAGGAUUAGCUUGUUGGUGAGGUAAAGGCUCACCAAGGCUACGAUCCUUAGCUGGUCUGAGAGGAUGAUCAGCCACACUGGGACUGAGACACGGCCCAGACUCCUACGGGAGGCAGCAGUGGGGAAUAUUGGACAAUGGGCGAAAGCCUGAUCCAGCAAUGCCGCGUGAGUGAUGAAGGCCCUAGGGUUGUAAAGCUCUUUUACCCGGGAAGAUAAUGACUGUACCGGGAGAAUAAGCCCGGCUAACUCCGCGCCAGCAGCCGC